Long non-coding RNA from Anguilla anguilla (European eel), 682 nucleotides. RefSeq lists it as uncharacterized. The record is from RefSeq and is a predicted model, not a curated record. The transcript is spliced from 3 exons. Lineage: Eukaryota; Metazoa; Chordata; Actinopteri; Anguilliformes; Anguillidae.
UUCAAGACGUUCUGUGUGAAUAAAGGGAGAUGAGGCCUUUAAGCGAUGGCACUGAAUAUCAAAUAGGAUCAAAGGGAGUGUGACAAGCAUUCAUUGGAAUUCAGUGAGAAGCAGAAGCACUGUGAGCUGAGUGGCACCGCGUUCUGGUCAGCAGAGAGGGAAAGCCGAAGCACAGCCAGCGUUCUGCAGGCAAAGACGUCUUCCACCUUCGCCACGGACACACUACAGAAUUUUUACAAGAAACCCAAACCGCAGGACUACCAGUGUCACCGCCGGUCACUACCGUGCUACUCUCAAGAUGUGACUGGACCUGAUUUGUUACCAUAGUGCAGGUCGCCAUAGUAACACACUGAAGGCUGGGCCCCAGAGGCUUGAAACCUCAUUAACUGGAAAACAGGGGGAACGUUGUUCACACGGGGGUGUGACAAGGCAACAGAUGCCAGAGGACGGCCCCCUUCGUCGUGCUCAUAAUUAAAGCACAAAAGGAGAGCGCUGGAUGGAGGGACGAAGGAGGAGUGCAGGACUUACUCCUUGGAGCACCUGGAAGCUGUCCCCACACGGCUGGAGGUCCUGGUCAGGGUCCACGCCCACCCUGUGAGGAGGGAGAGGAGUAUGGUCAGCGCAGUGAGUCAGCUGUGUGUGUGCGAGAGAAAGAGCAAGAGAGGGAGUGAAUGUGUAUGUG